CCCAGUCAGAAAAAAGUAUUUAUGCAAAGGCUCUAUAGAUUUUAAGUGUUUUAAGAGUUUUGUUGGCUAGUUUAUUUAUUUACUUCACACAAUGUGAAAAAGCUCUCUGGCUACUUGGGCAAUGGAUUGUGGUGGUGUGAGACUGGAAGCUAGUGGGCUUAGCAGAGAUUGUUCUUUUGUCCAGGUGACUUGAUGGUGGCUUGUAGCUGGCAGUUGUCAAGAUGGAAAGACAUGGACAGAUUUACAACAUAUUUUAGAGAAGAUAUCAACAGAACUGGUAGCUUAGGAAGCACCAGGUUAUAUAUACAUGGAAAACAUCCUAAGAACUAGUCUUGAAAGCAAAGAAAGAAACAUGAUCAGAAUGGGAAUAAGCCUUGAAAAGAUGAAACAGGACUUCUGCCAAGAGAGGAGUAUUGUACCUAUGACAAGAAUAAAAAUGAGAUUGGCUUUUUGUUAAGAUUCCCAACUUUGGGCUGAAAAUGUAAAGUUACAGGAACAUCUGGAGAGGGAAAAAAAGUGGCUUUGGAAAGCUGUUCAACUCGCAAAACACUGAGGCUGAGCAAACAUUCCAGCUUUCCCUCGCUGGCCAUCACUCACACCCAAUGUAUUUAUUCUUUUUCUCCGACAAGAGAGCAACAUUUGGAAUAGCUCAAGCUGCUGAGUUAAUCAUCGAGACGCCGUGGGGAUGUUUUAAGCCAUGGGCCUACUCUCCUCGUAUGAUUUGGAAUCAACACAACCACCAGGCUGAGGGCCACUUUAAAGAGAAGCCUAGCCAUGGCAGCAGAGAUUGGGUAUGA
RNAcentral lists this long non-coding RNA (797 nucleotides) under Felis catus (domestic cat). RNAcentral describes it as "lncRNA (ENSFCAG00000050313.1)". Lineage: Eukaryota; Metazoa; Chordata; Mammalia; Carnivora; Felidae. The record is from RNAcentral.